This 497-nucleotide ribosomal RNA is filed under the name uncultured bacterium. RNAcentral describes it as "partial 16S ribosomal RNA". It matches the Rfam family "Bacterial small subunit ribosomal RNA", at positions 29 to 507 of the family's 1533-position model. The record is from RNAcentral.
AGUGAACGCUGGCGGCGGGCCUAAUACAUGCAAGUCGAGCGAACGGACGAGAGGGUUUGUUCUCUGGGUUUAGCGUGGGGGGGGGGAGUAGAACGUAUAGAAACUACCUAUAAGACGGGGGUAAAUUCCGGAAACCGGAGCUAAAACCGGCUUAUAAUUUGAGGGGGAUGGUUGAAGAGUUAAGGACGUUCUUCAUGUCACUGAGACGUUGCUGCGCGCGGCAUUAGCUAGUUGGUAAGGUAACGGCUUACCAAGGCAACGAUGCAUAGCUGACCUGAGAGGGUGAUCAGCCACACUGGAACUGAGACACGGUCCAGACUCCUACGGGAGGCAGCAGUGGGGAAUCUUGCACAAUGGGCGAAAGCCUGACCCAGCCAUGCCGCGUGAGUGAUGAAGGUCUUCGGAUUGUAAAACUCUGUUAUUAGGGAAGAAAAUCUGCGUAUGUAUCUGCGCAUGUCAUGACGGUACCCAAACAGAAAGCCCCGGCUAACUACGUG